RNAcentral lists this ribosomal RNA (579 nucleotides) under uncultured bacterium. Its description in RNAcentral is "partial 16S ribosomal RNA". It matches the Rfam family "Bacterial small subunit ribosomal RNA", at positions 355 to 923 of the family's 1533-position model. The record is from RNAcentral.
UGGGGAAUUUUGGACAAUGGGCGAAAGCCUGAUCCAGCAAUGCCGCGUGUGUGAAGAAGGCCUUCGGGUUGUAAAGCACUUUUUGUCCGGAAAGAAAUCCUUGGCUCUAAUACAGUCGGGGGAUGACGGUACCGGAAGAAUAAGCACCGGCUAACUACGUGCCAGCAGCCGCGGUAAUACGUAGGGUGCAAGCGUUAAUCGGAAUUACUGGGCGUAAAGCGUGCGCAGGCGGUUUGCUAAGACCGAUGUGAAAUCCCCGGGCUCAACCUGGGAACUGCAUUGGUGACUGGCAGGCUAGAGUAUGGCAGAGGGGGGUAGAAUUCCACGUGUAGCAGUGAAAUGCGUAGAGAUGUGGAGGAAUACCGAUGGCGAAGGCAGCCCCCUGGGCCAAUACUGACGCUCAUGCACGAAAGCGUGGGGGAGCAAACAGGAUUAGAUACCCCUGGUAGUCCACGCCCCUAAACGAUGUCAACUAGUUGUUGGGGAUUCAUUUCCUUAGUAACGUAGCUAACGCGUGAAGUUGACCGCCUGGGGAGUACGGUCGCAAGAUUAAAACUUAAAUGAAUUGACGGGGUCAUA